UGAAGUGCGUCAAACCAGUAAAAUGUUAAAAGUUCAAGACUCUAGAGAAUCUCGAAGCAGGAACAAAGCAGCUACUAGCGGUUGGAGUUUUAAGUUAAUUCAGAAAUCGCUGUGGCAUCAGAUAUAUUCAAAACAGAAAUCUUUCAAAGACAAUGAACUUGCCUGAAGGAUCAGACGAGAGCUGGAAGGAUAGCAUCUAGAAAUAUUCAACAGACAACGGAUACCCAUUGGCCGAGAACGGUCUGAGCACUAAUGUGAAGAGAAGUCACCGUAAAGAGAUGAUACACGGAAUUUAAGUCGUCUGUGAAGAGAUAAUGAGGAGAAUACACAGAAUUGAAUUUACCAUUGAGAAGCUUA
This is a long non-coding RNA of Macrobrachium nipponense, 357 nucleotides long. RefSeq lists it as uncharacterized. NCBI's taxonomy places the organism in Eukaryota, Metazoa, Arthropoda, Malacostraca, Decapoda, Palaemonidae. The transcript has 3 exons. The record is from RefSeq and is a predicted model, not a curated record.